ACAACUUCUGACCACAACCACACAACAGCUGACCACAUCUACUGACUACAAUUGAGCCCUUGUUACGAACAACCGUAUAUGUGACAUUUCUUAAAAUUAACUUCAAACAUUAUUAUUUGAUAUGCUGAAAAAAAACGUAUGUCCACAACUAUGAAUGGAUGGACAAGCGCUUUCGUUUUCUGCUGCCGAUGAAAAUCUCAGAAAUGUCAGAAAUAAAAUAAAAACCAAACUAAAGGAAUGGAAGAACAGACAACGAAAGACAUUGAGGGCUGCGGGGAAACCCUGUAUUAAUCGUAAGGGGCAAGAAAAAACUGAGAAAAUGUAUCCAAAAGAGCUGAUGAUCCUUGGAACAUACUGUACACACCAGGCAGAGCCACAGCCAGUAUGAGGGAUGGAAGUCCUGCUCAAACCACUACCCCAGGGCCUACGAGUCUCCUCUUCCAGUAAAGAAAGAAAAAUGCAGAGAUCUGAUGACCAUGCUGGACUACCUGCCAGCUGCUGCACAUAUUUUUUACGAGACACUAGAAUGUGAAGUUUCCCCGGAGGAAUAGGCAAGCCCAGGUUGUAGAAUCUUGUGUGCAUGACUUUCUACAGUAACAGUGUGUUUAGCCAACCUUCAUGUAACAUUCUAUCUCUAUAGCAGAGGUCCACAUUCUUUCCAAAUAUGUUGCAUUAAUUUAAUAACAUUGGUUUAGGCAAACUUGCCUUUCAAGCCCUCAACUUGUUGUUAUUUGGCAAGACUUAGUCUUGUUCAAUGUAUGAGUUUUGUUAUCUCUUACUCUGAAUUACGUGGUCAUAUGGGUGAAAAGUGUAUUUUGUUAUAUGCAUGUCUGCCCUGUCACACUCCUUACUGUUUGUUUUGAGCUGGACUCAUUGAUUGCAGAAGUGGGAACACCUGUGGGUAUAUAUAUAUAUAUAUAUUUUAUAUUAUUUGUAUUGCCUGGCAGGUUGGCAUUCCUUUUAUAAGAGGACAGCCAGCGUGAGCCUCUCCCUGCCACCUCUUGCAUCCAAGAGUGAGUAGCCAGAUGAACCACAGCCCUUGCACCCGACUGUAGUCUUCACCCCGAGCAUCUAGCCACUGACUCAGCGACCCAGCAUUGUCAGACGCAGGUGAGAAGCAGAUGUGAUUGAAUACCACAUACCUUUCACAAGGAGCAACACCAGACGAACUGGGAGCUUGUAUUGUAUUGUAUUGUAAUAUAUUGGAUAUGUUUUAUAUUAUUUGUAUUUGGAAUAAAUUGUUUUUACUGUA
Coregonus clupeaformis (lake whitefish) is the source of this 1252-nucleotide long non-coding RNA. RefSeq lists it as uncharacterized. NCBI's taxonomy places the organism in Eukaryota, Metazoa, Chordata, Actinopteri, Salmoniformes, Salmonidae. The transcript is spliced from 2 exons. The record is from RefSeq and is a predicted model, not a curated record.